Molecule: microRNA, 21 nt
Filed under: Gallus gallus (chicken)
Lineage: Eukaryota; Metazoa; Chordata; Aves; Galliformes; Phasianidae
Description: gga-miR-6568-5p
Source: miRBase by way of RNAcentral
GCGGCCGCCAUCUUGCUUGCG